UUGUAUUUUGGAUUAGUUUGGGCCUCGAAUCUGAGUGUCCUGAUCUGAACACGUCACCUGCCAGUCAGAUCACUGAUUGUUCUGAACCUGAUCAAUUCUUCCAUGUUUGACUCAGCGAUGGGAACUUGAGUUGCCUUUGUAUGUCAUUUUUAGCCUUUUGUCUCGAUCUGGCUUCGCUGAUUGAUCUCGUUACUGAUUCAGCUCCCUGCCUCACCAUUGCAGGAAACUAUCGUCUGCUUCAGAUUGGGUUGCUGAAGUAAAUGAAAAAAGGUGACUACCGCUUUGAGCUGAGCUGUUGAGGGAGGCACAAGUUGAAUGGGCUUGGUAGUGCAGGGAAGGGAAUCGGAUGGAGCAUUUCAGUGUGGCGGGGUAUCCAGGAGGAUGGAUACAUCGCAGCAUGGCUGGCAAGUCCAUUGCAAAAACUGGUGUGUCUGAAACACAUAUAAUGCGCCUUUUGUAUAUGUUUUAGUGAAAGGCUAUAUUUUAUUUUCACCAACAAUCUGGUUUCUGUUUUACGGUGUGAUUGGGUCGAGCCGAUAACCGCGGGCCGAACAUAGCGUGCGUUUGCUUGAUUAAAUACUACUCCCUCUGUUCCUAAAUAUAAGUCUUUGUAGGGAUUCCACUAUAAACCACAUACGGAU
Molecule: long non-coding RNA, 641 nt
Filed under: Triticum aestivum (bread wheat)
Lineage: Eukaryota; Viridiplantae; Streptophyta; Magnoliopsida; Poales; Poaceae
Description: long non-coding RNA (TAES_LNC015134)
Source: RNAcentral